RNAcentral lists this ribosomal RNA (213 nucleotides) under uncultured bacterium. RNAcentral's name for it is "partial 16S ribosomal RNA". It matches the Rfam family "Bacterial small subunit ribosomal RNA", at positions 1289 to 1500 of the family's 1533-position model. The record is from RNAcentral.
CAGUUCGGAUCGGAGUCUGCAACCCGACUCCGUGAAGCUGGAUUCGCUAGUAAUCGCGCAUCAGCCAUGGCGCGGUGAAUACGUUCCCGGGCCUUGUACACACCGCCCGUCACACCAUGAGAGUUGGGAAUACCCGAAGCCUGUGAGCUAACUUUUACGAGGCAGCAGUCGAAGGUAGAAUCAAUGAUUGGGGUGAAGUCGUAACAAGGUACC